GGAUGAACAGAAAAUUUGGGAUCAGAUCCUGGGAUAUAGGGCAGUGUGGAAGAAGCCUCAGUGGGAGGACCUGAUGAUAUCUUUGUUGAAUGGGAAUUAUUGUCCAACAUUUAGAAAAAAAAAACACUUUGGGAAAGGCUGUUGCUUGCCCACUGUGCCACAUUUGUUACCUAGCUGUAGAAGCAUAGCCAAAAUAGUCUGGCAAAAGGCAUUAUAGAUAGAACAACAUUUUGAGAUUGCAUGUGAAAUAAAACAAUGAAAGAGCAUUGUUUUUUUCUGUGUGUUUUUCCUCUACAGUUGAAUGUUGAAGGCAGAACUUAAGGGAAGAACAGCUUCACAAAACAGGAGCUGUCACUUCAGCCUCUGAAGCUAUUACACUGUCCAGAAAAGCAGACAAAAGUAUCAUUUUAUACAGGACCACAUGGGAAGACAAUCAACCUAGUUUGGCUGAGCAAAGGCACAAAGUAAAGUGCAUGAUUAAAUGGUACUUGAAGUGUGUUUUCUCUGUUCAUAUUACGUGAAUAAAAUCUCUAGGAAAAUACAGUUUAAUAUAGGCAAUUAAAAUCUGUAUAUCUUCAAGAGAAAAUGGCUGAAUCCUGCAUAAUAGAAGCAAGCAAGAAAUAUGUUUUUGUGAAACCAAAUGAAGAAGUGAACAGAGCAGGCAAAAUAUUUUUGGACAAAAAAUACUCAUCAGAUUGUAAAAAUGGUUUUUUUAGGAGAAACUACAGGAGGUACUACAAGAGUGAAAGAAGAAAAUGGACUAAUUACAGAACACAUUUUUAUUUAGGCAUGAUCAACGUUUCUCUUCUUCUUCUUAAUGUUUGUUUAUAUUCCGUUUUAUAUGCAGAGAAAAGAAAUGAAACAUGCCCAGUUCUCCCCCCUGCUGCCCUUGUUGUUCCCUGUCCAAAGGGCUGGAUUGGGUAUCAGAGGAAAUGCUACUACUUUUCAGAGACUGAAGGAAACUGGACCUUUGGCAGCAAAUACUGUUCCUCCCACAAUGCCUCCUUGGCUGUGGUUGACUCCCAAGAAGAAAUGGAGUUCCUUUUACGCUACAAGCGCCCUCCCGAUCACUGGAUUGGUCUCCGGAAAGAUUCUGGUCAACCCUGGAGAUGGGUAAAUGUCAGCCUUUCCCCAGAACAACUCUGGGGACUUCCCACUGAAGAGGGAAAAAGAUGUGCAUAUUUGAACCAUAAAGGUAUUGCCAGCUCCAGUUGCACAAGAGAAGAACCCUGGAUUUGUAGCAGGGAGAUAACUUGAGACAUUGCCUGAACUUCUGAAGCCAUUAUUUCUGCUGUGCACAUACACUGAGGCACUCCAAAAGGUAUAAUGGCCCAUUGCUUGAUCCUUCUGGAAAUAUAAGGAGAAAGGACAUGAAGCUCCUUAAGUUUGGUUUAAUCCCAUUGUUGCUUCUUCAUAUGGUUUGUGCCUAAUUUUCUGGAGAUGGAAGAAUGCAAAGAAGUCAUUGUUAAUCUAUCAAAUGCUUGCUGCAUCAGGAUGUUUUCUGUCAUCAAAAAGGGUUUUUUUUGAGUGGUGCAGUACCUCAGAACUUACUAGUGGGGCAGAUGAUUCACUUUAUAUUUGAAAACAAUAUCUUCCCCAUUUCAAUUUUAGUCUUCCAAAUUUCAGAAUGUUUUGGUCAUCUGAUUUUUUUGGAAAUGUAUAAAGAUCCUACGAAUAAAAUCUUUUUAAAAAAACAAAGGAGGUACACCCUUGAAUUUCUGCACAGAGACAAAAUAUGAGUACGGCAUCAGUCCUGCAAAGUUUCAGAAUGUUUUAGUCAUCUACUGAGUUUAAAUAAUUUUUAAAACUUUUUACAAAUAAAAUAUCUUUUAAAAAUCCAUAAGAGGUAUUCCCUUGAAUUUCUCCACAGCA
Anolis carolinensis (green anole) is the source of this 1872-nucleotide long non-coding RNA. RefSeq annotates it as C-type lectin domain family 2 member B. The transcript is spliced from 6 exons. Lineage: Eukaryota; Metazoa; Chordata; Lepidosauria; Squamata; Anolidae. The record is from RefSeq and is a predicted model, not a curated record.